This 428-nucleotide ribosomal RNA is filed under the name uncultured Acidobacterium sp. Its description in RNAcentral is "bacterial SSU rRNA". It matches the Rfam family "Bacterial small subunit ribosomal RNA", at positions 958 to 1385 of the family's 1533-position model. Lineage: Bacteria; Pseudomonadati; Acidobacteriota; Terriglobia; Terriglobales; Acidobacteriaceae. The record is from RNAcentral.
AACGCGAAGAACCUUACCUGGGCUCGAACGGCUUCUCAACGGCGGUGGAAACACCGCUAUCCCUUAAAAGAGUGGAGUCGAGGUGCUGCAUGGCUGUCGUCAGCUCGUGUCGUGAGAUGUUGGGUUAAGUCCCGCAACGAGCGCAACCCUUGUCCUGUGUUGCCACCCCGUAAGGGAGCACUCGCAGGAGACCGCCAGCGAUAAGCUGGAGGAAGGUGGGGAUGACGUCAAGUCCUCAUGGCCUUUAUGUCCAGGGCUACACACGUGCUACAAUGGCCGGUACAAAGCGUUCCCAAGCCGCGAGGUGGAGGCAAUCGCAAAAAACCGGUCUCAGUUCGGAUUGCAGGCUGCAACUCGCCUGCAUGAAGCUGGAAUCGCUAGUAAUGGCAGAUCAGCACGCUGCCGUGAAUACGUUCCCGGGCCUUGUA